UAAGCCGCGCUUUCCACAUUUCUCAAACGCAGCGGUGAAGUCGCUGAACUGAAUCGAAAUCCUGGGUGGGGAAACUAGGCUGGACAAGAGCCCCUGAGUCAUAGGGCUGGGGAUCCAGAAAUCCCGGGCCCUCCUGACACGCUGUACCCGGGUCUUCAGAGACUCGAAGGAGGGGACUAGAGGAAAACGCUCAGGCUCGGGUCGGUCCCCUACUUACUGAGACCCCUGGGUUUAGGUUUCGCGAGCGCCGCCGCGGAGGCUCACCUGGAUGCGACCCGGAAAUACUAGUUCAGCAGCUCCGUGUCCGAGCUACGGAACGGCAAAAAGGCCAAAGUGUCUGCUCUGUUCGGGAUCUCGCGAGACUUUAGAUGGGAGUCACAGGGUGGCACUGAAGUCAGGACUCGGAGUCCCCGCAGCCCUCCUGGCGCCCUCCCAGUCUGAGGAUCCUCCUGUGGAAGAACCACUCUGUCCGAGUCCCCAUUUCACAGCUGGGGAAAUUGAAACCCUGUGUUCCAGGAACAUUAUAAGGAAGGUCUUGUGGCUCCGGAGCUCUCCACACCACCCAGAACCAGUUUGAGAGAGAGAGGAGGAGAGCUCUGCCUGGCAGCUCAGUAGGGUUGCCAGAGGAUGGAGAAAAGGGGAGGAGCGAGGAAGACCUAGUGCAAAGGGUUUACUGUGAGGCUAAUGGGGCCCGAAAGGUUGGAACUGGUAGCCUCCAUGGGGGGAGGGAGCUAGGAUGCCAUCAGGAGAUAUUUCAGAUAAAGUGUCCAUAAAGAUCUCAAAAGGGAGGGAAACCAAUUUCCAAGAUUCCAGUAAUGUGCUAUGGUUUAUUUUCCCAAACUAAACAAUGCUUGUUUUCAUAAUUAUGUGGGUUUAUUUUGUAUUUUUUUAAAAAGAUUUUAUUUAUUUAGGGCGCAUGGGUGGCUCAGUUGUUAAGCGUAGGCCUUCAGCUGGAGUCAUGAUCCCAGUGUUCUGGGAUCCAGCACAGCACUGAGCACCCUGCACAGCAAGAAGCCUGCUUUUUCCUCUCCCACUCUCCCUACUUGUGUUCCCUCUCUUGCUGUCUCUCUGUCAAAUAGUGAAUAAAAUCUUUUUUUAAAAAAAGUAAAAAUUGUAA
Molecule: long non-coding RNA, 1117 nt
Filed under: Neogale vison (American mink)
Lineage: Eukaryota; Metazoa; Chordata; Mammalia; Carnivora; Mustelidae
Description: Neovison vison (American mink) lncRNA (ENSNVIG00000012937.1)
Source: RNAcentral